GCAGAAUCAUAUUCUCUCAAAGAGUAAGAAAGCCAAGGUCGUAGUAAUAGCAGUGUGCUCUUUCCUUCCUGUAAGCUCCAAUGUGGAGUGUGCUUGUAUUUCAAAAAGUCGACAGAAUGCCAACAUUAUUGUACUACAAACGCUUGCCUUCCAUAAGGAGAGGAUGAGGACCCGCAAGGCUUUGAAAUUUUGAUAAAAUUUGGUGCAUUAUUAUGAUGGAGAGAUUGACCCCAUAUCAUCGAUCCUCUUUUCUAUUUUUUGGUCUAAAGUUCAAAUGAUCUUUUCUUAUAUUGCUUAUAAUUAAGCACGUGUUCUUUUAAAAAUGUAUAAUAUUGCCCGUUUAGUAAUCAUUAUUGAUCAUGAUUUGUCCCUUGACUGAUCUGAUGCAAAUAUCGAUGUAACAGUUGCAAGCAGCUAGGUAAUGAAUACUGAAUAGUACUUGGCAACGAAACUUAUUAGCCAAGGUGGGGUAUUAAUUUAUUAUCACUUAAUUGUCAAUUAUUGAGAGUCUCUUCUACAUUGUGACUGGUUUCCUAUGACAAUGGCGAAGAAGACGAGAUCUAGUUUAAAAAUAAAUGUUUUGGAUAUUUUUUUUUAAAUCCGACCUAUCUAAGCGCCGUAUAAAUUAAUCGAGUUGCUGAUCAAUGUCUCGUGCCUAAGCGGGGACUAGGCGAUCAUCCAAUAAGAUUUUUAGAAUACUGGCUGAGAGAAUAUUGCUCCUACAUAGUCUAAACAUUUGUUUGUACCAUAAUUGACUGCUUGAUGACACAUCGCAAGCUAAUGGCGCGGGCUGUAUCGUAUAUCUACUCAUUGGGGAGGCUCAGUUUAUUGUUUGAGGUGUAGAUAAAGACAUUAAAGAGCAUAUCCACGUGGGAUCAUAUACAAACAUUGGACAAAGUGUAACAUCUGAGGAACAGAAGUGGGAAACUGAGUACACCAAAUACUAUUUUGAGAUGAAGUCUGGCUUCGAUGAGCAAAAUGAUCGACAACCAUGUUUGCCUCUCGGUAAAUAUGAUUGAAGGAAAUAUUAAUAAAAUGAGCAGAAAGAUGAUUGAUAUCCUAAAAUAAGGUGAAGAUCCUCCACGGCGCCUUAUAGAUAUGAUUGAUCAUGUUGAUUAGUAGUAAGGAGUCACCUUCAACUUGAAGUGACUACCAACCUUUAUGGAGCAUCAUGUUUGAUAUCUACGGGUUCCAUAUGUGUGUAGAUUGAUUGGUGAA
Rosa chinensis is the source of this 1218-nucleotide long non-coding RNA. RefSeq lists it as uncharacterized. The record is from RefSeq and is a predicted model, not a curated record. The transcript is spliced from 3 exons. Lineage: Eukaryota; Viridiplantae; Streptophyta; Magnoliopsida; Rosales; Rosaceae.